AAAACAUGUCUAUUUGAAAGAUUUAAAUAGUCGGGCCUGCUCACUGAUAUGAAGAUUUAAAGAGCCGCGGUAUUCUGACCGUGCAAAGGUAGCAUAAUCAUUAGUUUCUUAAUUGGGAACUGGUAUGAAUGGUUUGACAAGAAGAAAACUGUCUUGAUCACAGAAAUUGAAUUUAACUUUUAAGUGAAAAGGCUUAAAUAGUUUAGGGGGACGAUAAGACCCUAUAAAGCUUUAUAUAAAGGUUAAUAUUUAUUAAAUUAAGGUAAUAAAAAUUUAUAUUGAUUAUUAUAUUAUAUUGGGGCGAUAUAAGUAUAAUUUAUUAUAACUGCUUAGUGCAAAAAACACAAUAUCAGUGUUUAAAUAUAAAAGAUCCUAUAAUAUAGAUUGACAGUUUAAGUUACUUUAGGGAUAACAGCGUUAUUUCUUUUGAGAGUUCAUAUCGAAAGAGAAGUUUGCGACCUCGAUGUUGAAUUAAAAUUUCUAUAUAAUGCAGCCGUUAUAUAUGAAGGUCUGUUCGACCUUUAAAAUUUUACGUGA
RNAcentral lists this ribosomal RNA (537 nucleotides) under Tetraloides nigrifrons. RNAcentral's name for it is "partial 16S ribosomal RNA". It matches the Rfam family "Bacterial large subunit ribosomal RNA", at positions 1810 to 2603 of the family's 2925-position model. The record is from RNAcentral. Lineage: Eukaryota; Metazoa; Arthropoda; Malacostraca; Decapoda; Tetraliidae.